Molecule: long non-coding RNA, 983 nt
Filed under: Marmota monax (woodchuck)
Lineage: Eukaryota; Metazoa; Chordata; Mammalia; Rodentia; Sciuridae
Source: RNAcentral
GGCUCUCUGCCUUCCUCUGAGUUCUACAAAAUCUGUGGACUUGGCUCUCUGGUUAGGCCUGAUCUAAGAAGGCCAAGCAUCUACUCUCUCGGUGGUCUUUGGGGCUGGUGGUAUGGUCAAGACCAGCAUUGAUAAGGAAGCUCUGCUCAUUUCCCCACAGGUGAAAGAGGAAAUGAUGAUUAGAAAAGAACUGUUCUAAGCAGGGGUAAUGGGAGCCACAGGAAGGGAGAAGUUACUGCUGCUCCUAGAAGCUCACUCUAAGGGGGAAAUGCUGAGAUAGCAUGAUUCAAGGGGAAAUAAGGGACCACAGGUAAUGGGGUGGCCACUGUUGCCUAGGGAAGUAGUAAUCAGGGGAGAAGUAGUAAUCAGGUGGCCCUCCAGUUACUCCUGAAGAAGAGAGCUAGUGCUUUCCAGGCCAAGGAAAAGUCAGGAAUGAAGCUACGCUGGUGUGGAAGAUGUCAGCUCUAUGCAGGAGGGCUGCUCAGUGUGGCUGAAACAGCACAUGAACAUCAGGGGCCCAAACUGGCCAAAUUGGGGGGUGACAAAGAGGAGUACAGACAAACAGGGUCCUUGGCCUGACAUUAUGGAGAGGUCAAAUGGGCAGCAGUGUGAAGAAAAGAAUGGAAAAGAGACAGGACAGGAAGGUGAGGAAGUAGCUGCCAGGUCUUAGUGAAUGUGAGGCCUAGAUUUGUUUGGAGGCUGGUGACUGUUAUCUUAGAUAACUUAUUUUGUAAGUUAUCUUCUGAUUGUUGAUUCAGAGGGGACAAGAUGAAUUUUCACUGAGCUUGUAAAAACUUUACUUUGACCUAAGAAGUGUUGGGAGCUUUCCAAAAUUUGGGAAUCAAAUUUCAGGUCCUAGGAGAUGCUGCUACCUUCCUCCGUGAGGGGGCGCUGCAGGACAAGCCAGGAGCCAGUUUGGGCUCUGCUCACCCAUGGGAUCCAUUGAUCAUAGGCAUCUGGGCCACUUCCAGGCUCAAUUCUCC